This 350-nucleotide ribosomal RNA is filed under the name uncultured Staphylococcus sp. RNAcentral describes it as "bacterial SSU rRNA". It matches the Rfam family "Bacterial small subunit ribosomal RNA", at positions 1037 to 1388 of the family's 1533-position model. The record is from RNAcentral. Lineage: Bacteria; Bacillati; Bacillota; Bacilli; Caryophanales; Staphylococcaceae.
GGUGGUGCAUGGUUGUCGUCAGCUCGUGUCGUGAGAUGUUGGGUUAAGUCCCGCAACGAGCGCAACCCUUAAACUUAGUUGCCAGCAUUUAGUUGGGCACUCUAAGUUGACUGCCGGUGACAAACCGGAGGAAGGUGGGGAUGACGUCAAAUCAUCAUGCCCCUUAUGAUUUGGGCUACACACGUGCUACAAUGGACAAUACAAAGGGCAGCUAAACCGCGAGGUCAUGCAAAUCCCAUAAAGUUGUUCUCAGUUCGGAUUGUAGUCUGCAACUCGACUACAUGAAGCUGGAAUCGCUAGUAAUCGUAGAUCAGCAUGCUACGGUGAAUACGUUCCCGGGUCUUGUACAC